GAUGAACGCUGGCGGCGUGCCUAAUACAUGCAAGUCGAGCGAACGGACGAGAAGCUUGCUUCUCUGAUGUUAGCGGCGGACGGGUGAGUAACACGUGGAUAACCUACCUAUAAGACUGGGAUAACUUCGGGAAACCGGAGCUAAUACCGGAUAAUAUUUUGAACCGCAUGGUUCAAAAGUGAAAGACGGUCUUGCUGUCACUUAUAGAUGGAUCCGCGCUGCAUUAGCUAGUUGGUAAGGUAACGGCUUACCAAGGCAACGAUGCAUAGCCGACCUGAGAGAGUGAUCGGCCACACUAGAACUGAGACACGGUCCAGACUCCUACGGGAGGCAGCAGUAGGGAAUCUUCCGCAGUGGGCGAAAGCCUGACGGAGCAACGCCGCGUGAGUGAUGAAGGUCUUCGGAUCGUAAAACUCUGUUAUUAGGGAAGAACAUAUGUGUAAGUAACUGUGCACAUCUUGACGGUACCUAAUCAGAAAGCCACGGCUAACUACGUG
This 497-nucleotide ribosomal RNA is filed under the name uncultured bacterium. Its description in RNAcentral is "partial 16S ribosomal RNA". It matches the Rfam family "Bacterial small subunit ribosomal RNA", at positions 28 to 507 of the family's 1533-position model. The record is from RNAcentral.